AUUUAAGCUAAAAUUAUAAUCCUCUAUCUCAUUUGAAAUAAAUCUCUAAUGAGAGUCACUUGGUAAACUGCACUUGUCUUAGAAUGUUGUAUUGUUUUGUCAGUCAAUAUGCAGGGUAUCACAAUUCUGGGUGUGUCACAGUUCUACUGUAGCUAAUUAUGGAGAGGGUAUGGAGGUACCAAAGGAUUUACGGGUCUUCACAUAAUCACACUUCAAAAUACGAACUGCCGCAGGAGACAAUCAAUGGAAGAAAAAUAGAGGUUUAUUUGUGAUGCAGCUGCUUCCCUGUGAAGAAGUGACUGUCCUGCAUCCUCCCACCCUGGGGACCCAGAAAUGGGACCCAAGCUGUCAGAUUCAUAGAAAGCUGAAGCAUUUCAGAUCAGACCACCUGCUCCCCACAUCACGUCAAAUCCAGCAGUGGUGUUUGCAGUUCUAUCUGACAAAAAUUUCACAGCAACAGCAAAAGCAAAGUUCGGAGCAUUACACAUCCACAAUCAGCUGAGCAGGUGUUGGGUAUUUGGUCCCAGAAAUGAGAAAAGUGACUAAGAUAUGGAUCUUGAAGAAUAAUGAAGAAUUUUAUCAAAGUAUGUGGGAGAGAGAGAAACUUUCAUGUUUCAGGUAAGCAUGAGGAAUGGUCUGGAAGUAUGUUUAUGG
Molecule: long non-coding RNA, 654 nt
Filed under: Chinchilla lanigera (long-tailed chinchilla)
Lineage: Eukaryota; Metazoa; Chordata; Mammalia; Rodentia; Chinchillidae
Description: lncRNA (ENSCLAG00000026778.1)
Source: RNAcentral